GCAAACGUUUCUACCGGGAACCGUCGAAAAUAAUAGAAAUUUGCCAAAUACGCUUUUAUCGGAACAGACUCGCGUGUAGCAAAUUUCGUUGAGUUUUCGCUAAGAUCGAAAGCUCUCGAAGCAGUACCGACUGUUUGAAAUUCUAAUUUUUCAUUCUAAAUUUAACCGUGACGAUAGUUCGGCGAUCGACGCGCUAAGAAAACGUUCGGAGGAAGAGGAGAAGGCAACGGCAGAAAAUUCGGUCCUUGUAUAUUCAACUGUGUUUGCACGGAGCGAACGUCGUGUCUAGUUUUGUUUCGAGGGCAUUUUAGCAACCGGAACCCUGUUCCGGCUAAUUCCCGCCUGUUUGGCGAAUGGAUAAAGCUUCCAUGAUCGAGUUUCGCGUGGACAGACGGUACGGAUAAUUACAUUCUUCGAGCGAAUAAACUGGACGAACUUCCGGGCAAAAAACUUUUACAAUCAACUCGAAGCUGCUCGGGAAAGUUCUCGCGCUUUAAAAUUCCUGGCGGAACAUUGUCGGAGGAGUUGCAACGGGCAACGGAAACGAGGAAAGAUUAAUUUUACAUUUCAACGCGAUGCGUCAGGAUCUUCUGUACGAACGAAGAAACAAUGGUACAGCGAUUGAACGAUUAGGAGGGGGCGGCGCUCGUCAGUCAAACCCUGAACCCGUUUCUGGCGUAUGCAGAUGAGCAGCCCAUUGUCUUCCUCCGUGCAAUCCUCCCGGUGUAAUUACCUCGAAGCGCACCUGAAGUACAUGCCUCUUGUCACCUUAACGCUCGAUGCACCCGAGUUACCGCGCACGCACGUCCGACCAACGGGCCGCCAGGUAUUUAUGCAAAUGAUUUUUCC
This is a non-coding RNA of Megalopta genalis, 849 nucleotides long. The record is from RefSeq and is a predicted model, not a curated record. NCBI's taxonomy places the organism in Eukaryota, Metazoa, Arthropoda, Insecta, Hymenoptera, Halictidae.